RNAcentral lists this ribosomal RNA (460 nucleotides) under uncultured bacterium. RNAcentral's name for it is "partial 16S ribosomal RNA". It matches the Rfam family "Bacterial small subunit ribosomal RNA", at positions 338 to 795 of the family's 1533-position model. The record is from RNAcentral.
CCUACGGGUGGCAGCAGUGAGGAAUAUUGGUCAAUGGGCGAGAGCCUGAACCAGCCAAGUCGCGUGAGGGAAGACGGUCCUAUGGAUUGUAAACCUCUUUUGUCGGGGAGCAAAAAGGCCUCGUGAGGCCACAAGUGAGAGUACCCGAAGAAAAAGCAUCGGCUAACUCCGUCCCAGCCGCCGCGGUAAUACGGGGUAUGCGAGGUGUAUUGGGAUUUAUUGGGGUUAGAGGGUGCAUAGGCGGACUGGACAGUCAGCGGUAAAACCGAGGGGCUAAACCGUUUUCCGCCGUUGAAACUGUCGGGCUUGAGUGGGGGAGAGGUAGGCGGAAUGCGUGGUGUAGCGGUGAAAUGCAUAGAUAUCACGCAGAACACCGAUUGCGAAGGCAGCAUACUGGCGCCCGACUGACGCUGAGGCACGAAAGCGUGGGUAUCGAACAGGAUUAGAUACCCGGGUAGUC